Molecule: ribosomal RNA, 498 nt
Filed under: uncultured bacterium
Lineage: Bacteria
Description: bacterial SSU rRNA
Rfam family: Bacterial small subunit ribosomal RNA
Source: RNAcentral
GAUGAACGCUGGCGGCGUGCCUAACACAUGCAAGUCGAGCGAGAACCGCUGGAAUGACACUUCGGUAGAAUGAAAGCGGGGAAAGCGGCGGACGGGUGAGUAACGCGUAGGUAACCUGCCCCAUACACAGGGAUAGCCUAGGGAAACCUGGAUUAAUACCUGAUGAAGCAACUGGUCGCAUGACCGGCUGCCAAAGAUUUAUCGGUAUGGGAUGGACCUGCGUCUGAUUAGUGAGUUGGUGGGGUAAUGGCCUACCAAAGCGACGAUCAGUAGCCGACCUGAGAGGGUGAUCGGCCACAUUGGAACUGAGACACGGUCCAAACUCCUGCGGGAGGCAGCAGUGGGGGAUAUUGCACAAUGGGCGGAAGCCUGAUGCAGCAACGCCGCGUGAGCGAAGAAGGUCUUCGGAUCGUAAAGCUCUGUCCUGGGGGAAGAAACAAAUGACGGUACCCGGGACGGGAAGCCCGGCUAACUACGUGCCAGCAGCCGCGGUAAACU